UGGUGGAGCGAUUUGUCUGGUUAAUUCCGAUAACGAACGAGACUCUAGCCUGCUAAUAGUCGGUUCGUACGUCUACGUCGCGAACUCACUUCAAGACUUCUUAGAGGGACAAGCGGCAACUAGUCGCACGAGAUUGAGCAAUAACA
This 146-nucleotide ribosomal RNA is filed under the name uncultured eukaryote. RNAcentral describes it as "partial 18S ribosomal RNA". It matches the Rfam family "Eukaryotic small subunit ribosomal RNA", at positions 1299 to 1458 of the family's 1831-position model. The record is from RNAcentral.